This is a long non-coding RNA of Thunnus maccoyii (southern bluefin tuna), 1695 nucleotides long. RefSeq lists it as uncharacterized. NCBI's taxonomy places the organism in Eukaryota, Metazoa, Chordata, Actinopteri, Scombriformes, Scombridae. The record is from RefSeq and is a predicted model, not a curated record. The transcript has 3 exons.
AGAAAAUCAUUUAAUAACUUGUCAAAAAAUAUUGCUUGAAGAUUUUAACAGCCUUGCUUAAUUAGAUGUCUGACCCAGGGAGACACUGAUGUCAGCCUUAAUUCUGGCUCUGCUUAGUGUGAAAAUUCUAUAAUCAAAUAAUAUCAUUUUUUUUCUUAAUGCCUUUUUUAGUCUGCCUGACCUCACAGAAGUCACAGGUUUCAGUGUUUUUAGAUCAACUCAGAACAGCUCAGAGAGAGAUACUGCUGCAUUGACUGACUUAACCCAUCAUUUAAAAUGAGACAGCUCAGCUAAAUUAUUCCUAGAAUUAGUUUAUCAUGCUGCUGUGUUUAAUGACUUUUGUUUUCACUUUGUUCAUUAGGGUGCAUUGUUACAUAGCUCUUGGUACUGAAGAGGCAGGACAAUGCUUCAGAAACUGGAGGGCAACUUGCAGCUGGAAACUUUUAACUACUUCUCCUCAGAGUCAGUUAAACCUGCAGUACCAGAGUUUUUAAAGUCCUGAUGAAACGGCAUUUUGAGAUUAUCUAACUUCAACAUCUUGACGUAUUCCUGAGUGAAACAGGAUAGACAGCCUUCGCAGGUGAUGACUCCAUAGUGGAUUCCCGAGGACUUGUCCCCACAGAUCUUACAGGGGAUGACCUCGAUUUGAGCUGCAGGACCAAAAACAACAGUGAUGAGAGAGGUAUCUGCUGCCCCACUGCCCAAGUUCAAGCUCAGCCUGUGUCAGGAAGCGACACGUUGAAGGACGACAGUCACUGCUCGCCUGUAACCGCACAUGGCGCUGCACGUCCGGCGGCACGGCGCUUCCCAGAGCCGCUCCCCCUCCCUCCACUGUCAAUGCUGUAUAAUGCUGGGUGACAUAACUAGGUCAGUGGAACAGCCAGGCCCCUUUCUCCCUCUGUACACUCACACAGUCAGCCAUGCUGGCACAGCCAUCACAUCACAACAACAUCUCAACGGCACCAACGAUGCUCAGAUUCAUCCUACAAAUUCAUCGGCACUAACAAAAAGUUUGCAAACAUCUUCAGGGAUGAUUUAGAUUUAAAAAAAAAAAACAUCAAAUGAUUUUAAUCAGAUAAAUGUGUACCACUGAAUAUCAGAACAAAACAGCUAAAUUCAUUAUUCUUUUAAGUGAAUGGGUGUAAAUCGUUCACUAUUUAAGUGUUUAAUUCAUCUGAUAAGAUCGAAUAACAUCUUGAUUACAUAAUUCUAGUUUUGGUUAACAACAACCCCCUCUCAUGCCCCUCCCUCUACUUAUUGCAUAACUCUAACAUGGAUCCCCAGGCAAAUUUACAGAAGGACCCCCAGGUGAGAUACGACUUUACAUUUCUUCAAUUAAAGGCAGAUUUGUCACGGCCAUUAAUAAUAAAGCAAAAUUACGCAUGUGUUCAAGUGAAGUCUUUCACUGACAUUCAUCCUGGGUAAAUAACAGAAUUAAUCCAGUUGGGUUAAUUCUCAUGAUUGAACAACACGCCUACAGCUCUUCAUCACUGCACACUGAACUUCAGUGCCUCCUCGGGGCUCUGUGCAGCUAUAAUCCAGUCAUGAGGGAUUAAUGCGCACUGGGAGGAAAACAGGCGCACUCAAGAGUUCCUUUUGCGCACACAUGUGGCCAUUCCAGCCCAGAUAAAAACACACUGCGAUCUUUACCAAGUUCAACUAAACACGCGCAGAUUCACUGUGACAUAAAAAUCG